UACGUAGGGUGCAAGCGUUGUCCGGAUUUAUUGGGCGUAAAGAGCGUGUAGGCGGCUUGGUAAGUCCGCUGUGAAAGUCCAGGGCUCAACCCUGGAAAGCCGGUGGAAACUGUCAAGCUUGAGUCCGGAAGAGGCGAGUGGAAUUCCUGGUGUAGCGGUGAAAUGCGCAGAUAUCAGGAGGAACACCAAUGGCGAAGGCAGCUCGCCGGGACGGUACUGACGCUGAGACGCGAAAGCGUGGGGAGCAAACAGG
This 253-nucleotide ribosomal RNA is filed under the name uncultured bacterium. RNAcentral's name for it is "partial 16S ribosomal RNA". It matches the Rfam family "Bacterial small subunit ribosomal RNA", at positions 524 to 776 of the family's 1533-position model. The record is from RNAcentral.